AUUGGUGAGAAAGAUAGUGAGAUCCAAGAGCAUUUCUGGGGCUCCAUUCUUCUCAUUUGAAUUCACAUAAUUUGCAAUACAACCAAUCACUGUUGCACCUUAUUGAAUUCAUUCUUUAAUUAGAUAAAAUUCAUUGUAUCUCUUACUACUAAACUGGAAUUUUGUGGCAAGCUACACUUCUACAAUGUAAUUUAUACAACUCAACUGUAACUACGUAUUAAGAUAGCUCCAUUCUUCUCAUUUGAAUCCACAUAAUUUGCAAUACAACCAAUCACUGUUGCACCUUAUUGAAUUCAUUCUUUAAUUAGAUAAAAUUCAUUGUAUCUCUUACUACUAAACUGGAAUUUUGUGGCAAGCUACACUUCUACAAUGUAAUUUAUACAACUCAACUGUAACUACGUAUUAAGAUCAAUGCACAAA
This 420-nucleotide long non-coding RNA is filed under the name Nicotiana benthamiana. RNAcentral describes it as "long non-coding RNA (NBEN_LNC035448)". Lineage: Eukaryota; Viridiplantae; Streptophyta; Magnoliopsida; Solanales; Solanaceae. The record is from RNAcentral.